RNAcentral lists this ribosomal RNA (425 nucleotides) under uncultured bacterium. Its description in RNAcentral is "partial 16S ribosomal RNA". It matches the Rfam family "Bacterial small subunit ribosomal RNA", at positions 354 to 796 of the family's 1533-position model. The record is from RNAcentral.
GUUAGGAAUAUUGGACAAUGGGCGAAAGCCUGAUCCAGCCAUGCCGCGUGAACGAUGAAGGCCUUCGGGUUGUAAAGUUCUUUAGCCGAUGAUUAUAAUGACUGUAGUCGGAAAAUAAGCCCCGGCUAACUUCGUGCCAGCAGCCGCGGUAAUACGAAGGGGGCGAGCGUUAUUCGGAAUCACUGGGCGUAAAGCGUGCGUAGGCGGUUUUGUAAGUUAGGAGUGAAAGCCCAGGGCUCAACCUUGGAAUUGCUCUUAAAACUGCAAGGCUCGAAUCUCGGAGAGGAUAGCGGAAUUUCCAGUGUAGCAGUGAAAGGCAUAGAUAUUGGAAGGAACACCAGUGGCGUAAGCGGCUAUCUGGGCGAGUAUUGACGCUGAGGCACGAAAGCGUGGGGAUCAAACAGGAUUAGAAACCCCUGUAGUCC